AGAUCGAAUUGUAAACUUUAGAGUCGUUGUCCAGACCAGCCGAGUAAAUAAGUUCCUUGGAAUAGGACAUCAUGGAGGGUGAGAAUCCCGUCUUUGGCUUGAGCAUUGGUCUUUUGUGAUGCGACUUCAACGAGUCAGGUUGUUUGGGAAUGCAGCCUUAAUUGGGUGGUAAAUCUCACCUAAAGCUAAAUAUUGGCGAGAGACCGAUAGCGAACAAGUACCGUGAGGGAAAGAUGAAAAGAACUUUGAAAAGAGAGUUAAACAGUAUGUGAAAUUGCUAAAAGGGAACCGUUUGAAGUCAGUCUGGCUGGUCUGCAAUCAGCUUCAACUUUGGUUGGAGUGCACUUGUAGGCCAUUUUGCCUGCCAACAACAGUUUGUUCUGCAGCAAAAAGGUGUUGAGAAUGUAGCUUUCUCUUUGGAGGAAGUGUUAUAGCUCUUCGCGAAAUACUGUGGUUCAGACUGAGGCUUGCAGUGAAUGCUAUUUUGGCUUUGGGGAUGGAUUGCUCAGUGCUUUUGCUUGG
Molecule: ribosomal RNA, 522 nt
Filed under: Apophysomyces variabilis
Lineage: Eukaryota; Fungi; Mucoromycota; Mucoromycetes; Mucorales; Mucoraceae
Description: eukaryotic LSU rRNA
Rfam family: Eukaryotic large subunit ribosomal RNA
Source: RNAcentral